CGAAUGGUAUCUAUGACCAAAUCUAGGGC
This 29-nucleotide small RNA is filed under the name Bombyx mori (domestic silkworm). Its description in RNAcentral is "ovarian small RNA-14150". The record is from RNAcentral. Lineage: Eukaryota; Metazoa; Arthropoda; Insecta; Lepidoptera; Bombycidae.